RNAcentral lists this small nuclear RNA (22 nucleotides) under Arabidopsis thaliana (thale cress). Its description in RNAcentral is "snRNA_13277". Lineage: Eukaryota; Viridiplantae; Streptophyta; Magnoliopsida; Brassicales; Brassicaceae. The record is from RNAcentral.
CCUGAGCGGGGUAAAGCCAGAG